Long non-coding RNA from Ananas comosus (pineapple), 1176 nucleotides. RefSeq lists it as uncharacterized. The record is from RefSeq and is a predicted model, not a curated record. Lineage: Eukaryota; Viridiplantae; Streptophyta; Magnoliopsida; Poales; Bromeliaceae. The transcript has 2 exons.
AAAAAAGAAGACUUAAGUCCUCGAACCUUCAGGACUUGAACCUUGGCGAGGAAGUACGAACCUUGAAGUUGUUGUUUUGGCUUCAAACUUCAAUGUCCGAACCUUUAGCUCAUGGAAUCACUAGUAAACCUUCGGGAUCCAGAUCUCCAACGGCAAGUUCGGACCUUAGCUACGUAAAUAACAAAGUCAAAUGUUCAAAAUCUGGACUUCCACUAGAAGGUUUGGACGUUGCUUCUGCGGCUCAGGGAAAACCUUCAGGAUCUAGACUUCCUAUAGUCUGGAGCAGCAUUUGAGGUGGUACAAUUUCUCUCUUUUGGAGGAUUAAGUUGCAGUUGUGCAACUCUAUAUAGGGCCCCUAGGGCCCUUUCUCCGUCACUUCUCCAAAAAAAAAAAAAGAGAAAAUCUUUUUUCUUUUCUUUUUUUUUUUUUCUAAAACUCAAUCUAUCACUCUCUAACCUAUUUCUCUUCCUCUCUCUUGCAAUUUUUUCACAAGAUUUGAGAUUUUGGAGUAAGUGCCAGUAAAGGAGCUCUUUUAGAAGGAGUGAAACAACCUUCUUAGACAAGGAGGAGUUUGUGAGAUAAGGUGUAAUGAGUUCCAUGUGAUUUCUUGUUAGGAUUUGGAAAUAAUUUUAGAAAAAUAUGAUUUUGGAGAACCCUAGAAGGAUCGACAGUAGACUUUUGGGAGAUUCACCAUAAUCAUGAGAGUUUGUUGAGGAUAGUUGAAAUCUAGGUCGAAAAUUUGGGGUUUAAUUUGACCUAGGGGCUUUCAAAGUAAAUUAACCUUUUGAAAUUUCAAUUGAAGAGUAGAUUGAUGUGGGAAACAAGAAAAUUUGACUUUACGAUGAGGUUACUACAUCCAAUCGAAGGAUUUGGGCCAAUUUUGAAGGUUUUUGACAAAUUGGCCUUGGACUUGGACGAUUCAUCGACGACCAUCGAAUUGCUUGGUUUUUCUAGCUAUUGGCGACGAACCAAGGUCGUUCGUGUGUGGCGCGGCGGCGCGAGGCGAGGGCGUAGCUCAGUAGAUAGCGCCCCACCACAGAGACCGAGGUAGCAGUACCCUGAGGCAGUCUAGUUUAGGGGUCUAGAAGGCAAGAAUCAAGAUGUAUCAAACUUGUAAAAUAAAAGAUGUAAUACAUUGUGAUUGUAAUCGGAAGUAAAAUGUAAACUGAUUUGAGA